UGUGUAUCAGUACAUGGUAUAUCAAUAAGCGGAGGAAAAGAAACUAACAAGGAUUCCCUUAGUAACGGCGAGUGAAGCGGGAAGAGCUCAAAUUUGAAAUCUUCAAGGUUUUACCUUGACGAAUUGUAGUUUAAAGAAGUGUUUUCUGUUGGAGUUUUGGUAAAAGUUCUUUGGAAUAGGACAUCAUAGAGGGUGAGAAUCCCGUAUUUGACCAUUAUUUCCAGCUGUGUGGUACACUUUCAAAGAGUCGGAUUGUUUGGGAAUGCAGUCCAAAAUGGGUGGUAAAUUUCAUCUAAAGCUAAAUAUUGGCGAGAGACCGAUAGCGAACAAGUACCGUGAGGGAAAGAUGAAAAGAACUUUGAAAAGAGAGUUAAACAGUACGUGAAAUUGUCAAAAGGGAAGCGUUUGACACCAGUGUUGUUUAGUUGAAAAUCAAUUCAAUAGUUUUCGAUUCUAAGUAGUAUUGACUUCAUCAGCUUGCUGCUUUCUUCUCAGAAAUUAUUGAAUGCACUUUUCAGUUAACAAGUCAACAUCAAUUUCUUUUGUUGUAAAAGGGUAAGAGGAAGGUGGCUUGCGCUUCGGCUCAAGUGUUUAUAGCCUUUUAUCUCUGCAAUCGGAGAGAUUGAGGUCUGCAGCGUAGAUCCUUCGGGGUUAGAUACAUUGGUGCUAAGUUAUAGCUUUGUCAUAGACAACAUGUUGACUAUGUUAAGUCAUGUAGCUUACUCGCUGAUGCUAUUUUACCUACGCUUAGGAUGUUGAUAGUCACAGCGUGUAC
RNAcentral lists this ribosomal RNA (775 nucleotides) under uncultured Neocallimastigales. RNAcentral's name for it is "partial large subunit ribosomal RNA". It matches the Rfam family "Eukaryotic large subunit ribosomal RNA", at positions 22 to 644 of the family's 3401-position model. Lineage: Eukaryota; Fungi; Neocallimastigomycota; Neocallimastigomycetes; Neocallimastigales. The record is from RNAcentral.